GGAGAGGUGUCCGAGUUGGCCGAAGGAGCACGACUGGAAAUCGUGUCCCCGUCGAAAACCGGGGCGCGGGUUCGAAUCCCGCCCUCUCCG
This 90-nucleotide transfer RNA is filed under the name Caldifarciminota bacterium JGI_Cruoil_03_44_89. RNAcentral describes it as "tRNA-Ser". It matches the Rfam family "tRNA". From Rfam's summary of the family: Transfer RNA (tRNA) molecules are approximately 80 nucleotides in length. Their secondary structure includes four short double-helical elements and three loops (D, anti-codon, and T loops). Further hydrogen bonds mediate the characteristic L-shaped molecular structure. tRNAs have two regions of fundamental functional importance: the anti-codon, which is responsible for specific mRNA codon recognition, and the 3' end, to which the tRNAs corresponding amino acid is attached (by aminoacyl-tRNA synthetases). tRNAs cope with the degeneracy of the genetic code in two manners: having more than one tRNA (with a specific anti-codon) for a particular amino acid; and 'wobble' base-pairing, i.e. permitting non-standard base-pairing at the 3rd anti-codon position. Lineage: Bacteria; Pseudomonadati; Caldifarciminota. The record is from RNAcentral.